GCAUAACGCGAAGAACCUUACCACCUUGACAUGUACGGAAUCCUUUAGAGAUAGAGGAGUGCUCGAAAGAGAGCCGUAACACAGGUGCUGCAUGGCUGUCGUCAGCUCGUGUCGUGAGAUGUUGGGUUAAGUCCCGCAACGAGCGCAACCCUUGCCAUUAGUUGCUACAUUUAGUUGAGCACUCUAAUGGGACUGCCGGUGACAAACCGGAGGAAGGUGGGGAUGACGUCAAGUCCUCAUGGCCCUUAUAGGUGGGGCUACACACGUCAUACAAUGGCUGGUACAAAGGGUUGCCAACCCGCGAGGGGGAGCUAAUCCCAUAAAGCCAGUCGUAGUCCGGAUCGCAGUCUGCAACUCGACUGCGUGAAGUCGGAAUCGCUAGUAAUCGUGGAUCAGAAUGUCACGGUGAAUACGUUCCCGGGUCUUGUACACACCG
RNAcentral lists this ribosomal RNA (436 nucleotides) under uncultured bacterium. RNAcentral's name for it is "bacterial SSU rRNA". It matches the Rfam family "Bacterial small subunit ribosomal RNA", at positions 954 to 1392 of the family's 1533-position model. The record is from RNAcentral.